CACACACACAUCAACAUGUUGCUUGAAGCACUUUGUGUUUAUUGCUGCUUAAACGCUCGAGCUAAAUGCUCUUACAUAGUAAAGAAUAAAUAUACUCUACUUAUUCCAAGAUCUGAACCUUUAAGAUCUUGGUGUGAAGAUGAAACACCCAACCUGCAUAAAACAGGGCGGAGUAUUUAAAAGUUCUCUUGAAUAUUGUCACUCAAUAACAUUCGUGUUAUCAAUUCCUUUACAGAUUAUUAAUACGAUAAUCUAAAACACACCCCUGGGAAAACCGUUCUUCACUACAAUGUAUAAAUGUUCACGUUCGUAUUUUACGCAUUCGCCUAAAUAGACAAGUUUUUAGACACCUCGAAUUGCAUGC
This 364-nucleotide long non-coding RNA is filed under the name Paramuricea clavata. Lineage: Eukaryota; Metazoa; Cnidaria; Anthozoa; Malacalcyonacea; Plexauridae. The record is from RNAcentral.